UUUGUUAAAUUCUUUUAAGGGGUUUAGAAAAAUUGUUACCCAUAUUUUGAAAGAUGUAGAGAAUGUCUGUUAUUCAUUCUUUGUUUUUUCCCCCUAUUUUUAGAAGAAAAGGGGGUGUUGAAAAAUAAAUUGGAAAUUCAAAAACGAGACAAUGACUAACAUAUGACUAUAUCGGACAAUACAAAAAUCUUUUUUUUAAUUUUUAGACACAAACACACACACACAUUCUGUCGACUUUAAUGCUUAUGUUUGUAAACAUAAAAGGGGUGUACCAAAGUAUAAUUUUAUAAUAACUAUAAUUUAUUGUUUCUUGAGCAUCCAAUUCAGACAACAAUGCAAAGACCUUUUCAACAGAAUCAAGAAAAAGCUGCUCUAAAUAUA
RNAcentral lists this long non-coding RNA (381 nucleotides) under Mytilus galloprovincialis (Mediterranean mussel). Lineage: Eukaryota; Metazoa; Mollusca; Bivalvia; Mytilida; Mytilidae. The record is from RNAcentral.